RNAcentral lists this transfer RNA (76 nucleotides) under Atopobium sp. Its description in RNAcentral is "tRNA-Ile". It matches the Rfam family "tRNA". From Rfam's summary of the family: Transfer RNA (tRNA) molecules are approximately 80 nucleotides in length. Lineage: Bacteria; Bacillati; Actinomycetota; Coriobacteriia; Coriobacteriales; Atopobiaceae. RNAcentral also lists the same sequence under 2 other names. The record is from RNAcentral.
GGGCCCGUGGCGCAGAGGUCAGCGCAGGGGACUCAUAAUCCCUGGGUCGUAGGUUCGAAUCCUACCGGGCCCACCA